AUGGAUCGCUCGGGAUGCAGGGACACAAAUCCCUCGGGAUCCAGGGACACAGAUCCAUCAGGAUGCUGGAACACAGAUCCCUCAGACGCUGGAAUUCAGAUCCCUCGGGAUGCAGGGACAUGGAUCCCUCGGGAUGCUGGGACACAGAUCCCUUGGGAUGCAGGGACACAGAUCCCUCGGGAUAAAGGGACACGGAUUCCUCGGGAUUCAGGGACACAGAUCCCUCGGGAUGCAGGGACACAGACCCCUCGGGAUGCAGGGACACAGAUCCAUCAGACGCUGGAAUUCAGAUCCCUCGGGAUGCAGGGACACGGAUCCCUCGGGAUGCUGGAAUUCAGAUCCCUCGGGAUCCAGGGACACAAAUCCCUCGUGAUGCUGGGACACAGAUCCCUCGGGAUGCAGGGACACAAAUCCCUCGGGAUCCAGGGACACAAAUCUCUCGGGAUGCAGGGACACAGAUUUCUCGGGAUUCAGGGAGACAGAUCCCUCGGGAUCCAGGGACACAAAUGCCUCGGUGCCGUGGCCAGAGCUGGGCUCAGUCCAGACUCUGAUCCCUCGGGAUUCUUGGGAGCCGAUCCCGGAGGAGGGCGCGGUGCCGAUCCCGGGGUGACUCCGGGGCGCCGAUCCCGGGGAUCCCGGCUGGAUCCCGGCUGGAUCCCGGGGAUCCCGGCCGGCCCGGGGACCCCGCGCGAACAAAGGCCCCGCGGGCAGCACGAGGCCGGCGGGCGGCGCGACCCGCCCCCGGGAGGGCGGGACCGAGAGGGACCGGGCAGGGACCGGGAGCACCGGGAGGGACCGGGAAGGAGCCGGGAAAGAGCCGGGAGGCACCGGGAAGGACCGGGAGCACCGGGAGGGAGCCGGGAGCGCUCCCUGGAUUAUGUCCCGUAUCGAGUCGCUGUCGCGAGCCAGGAGCGAUCGCGCCAAGGGCAAGGACAAGGAGAGGAUGAAGGAGGGCAAGGAGAAGGACGCGCGUUACACCAACGGGCACCUC
This 991-nucleotide long non-coding RNA is filed under the name Chloebia gouldiae (Gouldian finch). RNAcentral describes it as "Erythrura gouldiae (Gouldian finch) lncRNA (ENSEGOG00005018471.1)". Lineage: Eukaryota; Metazoa; Chordata; Aves; Passeriformes; Passeridae. The record is from RNAcentral.